RNAcentral lists this unclassified non-coding RNA (335 nucleotides) under soil metagenome. Its description in RNAcentral is "partial contains 5.8S ribosomal RNA, internal transcribed spacer 2, and large subunit ribosomal RNA". The stretch from base 1 to 120 matches the Rfam family "5.8S ribosomal RNA", at positions 35 to 154 of the family's 154-position model. The record is from RNAcentral.
GAUGAAGAACGUAGCGAAAUGCGAUACGUAAUGUGAAUUGCAGAUUUCAGUGAAUCAUCGAAUCUUUGAACGCACAUUGCGUCCGCCAGUAUUCUGGCGGGCAUGCCUGUUCGAGCGUCAUUUCAACCAUCAAGCGCCUGCGCUUGUGUUGGAGCCCUGCGGCUGCCGCAGGCUCUCAAACCCAGUGGCGGGCUCGUCGUCGUACCGAGUGCAGUAAAUUUACCACGCUCAGGGCACGCGACGGGUGACCGGCCGUAAAACCCCCAUCUUCUCAAGGUUGACCUCGGAUCAGGUAGGAAUACCCGCUGAACUUAAGCAUAUCAAUAAGCGGAGGA